RNAcentral lists this ribosomal RNA (707 nucleotides) under uncultured bacterium. RNAcentral describes it as "bacterial SSU rRNA". It matches the Rfam family "Bacterial small subunit ribosomal RNA", at positions 401 to 1114 of the family's 1533-position model. The record is from RNAcentral.
GUGGGUGAGGACGGCCUUCGGGUUGUAAAGCUCUGUCCUCGGGGACGAAACAAAUGACGNUACCCGAGGAGGAAGCCCCGGCUAACUACGUGCCAGCAGCCGCGGUAAUACGUAGGGGGCGAGCGUUGUCCGGAAUUACUGGGCGUAAAGGGCGUGUAGGCGGCCGCUUAAGUUCGGUGUGAAAGGCAUGGGCUUAACUCAUGGACUGCAUCGAAAACUGGGCGGCUUGAGGGUGGUAGAGGAGAGCGGAAUUCCCGGUGUAGCGGUAAAAUGCGUAGAUAUCGGGAGGAACACCAGUGGCGAAGGCGGCUCUCUGGGCCACACCUGACGCUGAGGCGCGAAAGCUAGGGGAGCAAACGGGAUUAGAUACCCCGGUAGUCCUAGCCGUAAACGAUGGGUACUAGGUGUAGGAGGUAUCGACCCCUCCUGUGCCGCAGCUAACGCAAUAAGUACCCCGCCUGGGGAGUACGGCCGCAAGGUUGAAACUCAAAGGAAUUGACGGGGGCCCGCACAAGCAGUGGAACAUGUGGUUUAAUUCGACGCAACGCGCAGAACCUUACCAGGGCUUGACAUCCCCUGACUACCGCGGAAACGCGGGGUCCAUGGCUUCGGUCAUGGCAGGGUGACAGGUGGUGCAUGGUUUGUCGUCAGCUCGUGUCGUGAGAUGUUGGGUUAAAUCCCGCAACGAGCGCAACCCUUCUCCUUUG